This 1002-nucleotide long non-coding RNA is filed under the name Salvia miltiorrhiza (redroot sage). RNAcentral describes it as "long non-coding RNA (SMIL_LNC008964)". Lineage: Eukaryota; Viridiplantae; Streptophyta; Magnoliopsida; Lamiales; Lamiaceae. The record is from RNAcentral.
ACCCACUUUCUUAUAACAAAAAUAAAUUUUACCCACUCAAAUUAAAACUUAAAAUUUUACCCACUUUUUGUGUUAAAAGACUAAAUUGCCCUUCUAUAUAAAUGGGCAAACCUCUCAUUUUUUUUUCUCUCUCUUCUCUCUCUCUGCACGCUCUCUUCUCUCUCUCUCUCUUCUCGAUCUGAGCUUGUUGAGGCCGAGGACUGCGGCGGCGAUCGGCUUCCUCCGCUGCUCCAGGCUGUCCUCCUCCCCGAUCAGCGUCGGCGGACGGCGGAGCACGUAGAUCUCGCAGCGUGCCGAGGACUGCGGCGGCGAUCGGCUUCCUCCGCUGGUCCAGGCUGUCCUCCUCCCCAAUCAGCGUUAGCGGACGGAUGAGCACUUAGAUCUCACAGCGUACCGAGGACUGCGGCGGCGAUCGGCUUCCUCCGCUGCACUCUCUCUCUCUCCCUCUCCCUUCCUUUCUCUCUUCCGGCAGCCGUGGCAGGAGGUGAGGGCGGCGGCCGAGGAUGGAAGACGGCGGCGAGUCCAUGGACUGCGAUUUAGCCGCUUCCUCCUGCUUCUGCCAUCGCCUCUGCAUUUUUCGCGUCACUGGAGCGGUGCUCGUGCGUCAACGUCGACGCUGACGGUAAAGACGACGACGAUGAGGUUAACGACAAAUCUGGAGGAGUUUUGUCAAUUGCUAGAAAAUAUUGGAGAUUGGUCGUGGCGAUGUGGUUUCCUGAUUUAGUUUCCUGAUUUGGUUUUUGAUUUAGUUUGCUGAUUUGGGGAAAUCGUGCCCUAAUUUGAGAUGAACUUGGGGCUUUUUUAAAUUUUUCUUAUUUUGGGGAUUUUUUAUGUUUACAAGCGAUGUAUUUCGUUUCAAGAAAGGAAAUGUAAUAAAUUUUCUGUAUAAGUUUUGUUUUGAUUGAAUACUAAGUAUAUUGGAUCACAGAUUGAAGAAAUUGAUGAAAAUCGCUCAAUUUUGUGCAUAUGUUCUUGAAUUCACAACCAAGUUUAUGAAUUCAC